This 275-nucleotide unclassified non-coding RNA is filed under the name air metagenome. Its description in RNAcentral is "partial contains small subunit ribosomal RNA, internal transcribed spacer 1, and 5.8S ribosomal RNA". The stretch from base 1 to 46 matches the Rfam family "Eukaryotic small subunit ribosomal RNA", at positions 1786 to 1831 of the family's 1831-position model. The record is from RNAcentral.
AAGUCGUAACAAGGUUUCCGUAGGUGAACCUGCGGAAGGAUCAUUACCGAGAGUGACGGACGCCGGCGGCGCCGUCCCGGGGGUCCCGCCCCCGACCUCUUCAACCCUGUGAAUAUUUGCCCUUGUUGCUUCGGCGAGCGCCGAGGCCUUUCGCGCCUCGGCCCCGGCUCCGGCCGGUGAGCUCUCGCCCGAGGCCCUCUCCAUUCGGCUCUACAGUGACGUCCGAGGAUUUGCAAUCAAUAUCAAAACUUUCAACAACGGAUCUCUUGGUUCUG